UGCGAGGGUAGUAUAGUGGUAGUACUCUACCUUGCCAAGGUAGGAGCUCGGGUUCAAAUCCCGGCCCCCGCAU
RNAcentral lists this transfer RNA (73 nucleotides) under uncultured archaeon. RNAcentral describes it as "tRNA-Gly(gcc)". It matches the Rfam family "tRNA". From Rfam's summary of the family: Transfer RNA (tRNA) molecules are approximately 80 nucleotides in length. Their secondary structure includes four short double-helical elements and three loops (D, anti-codon, and T loops). The record is from RNAcentral.